UUUUUUUUUUUUUUUUUGGCUUUUCAGGGCCACAUCUGCAGCAUAUGGAGGUUCCCAGGUUAUGUCCCUAAAAAGCAAAAAUGCCAAAACAAACAAGCAAACAAACAAAAAACAAAAAACCAUGGAGAUGCAGCCAACGAAAUCCAGAACCUAGAAAACUCUGCGGGACAAAUAACACGCUUCUGUAAUCAAGCAGACAGCGGAAUGUACAGAUUAAAAGAGGCUUGAGGAAGUUGCUGUUGUGGCUCAGUGGUAAUGAGACCAACAAGUAUUCAUGAGGAUUCCGGUUCAAUCCCUGGCCUCAUUCAGUGGGUUAAGGAUCCAGCGUUGCCUUGAGCUGUGGUUUUGGUCACAGACAUGGCUCAGAUUUGGCGUUGCUGGGGGUGUGGUGUAGGCCAGCGGUUACAGCUCCAGUUCAACCUCUAGCCUGGGAAUUUCCAUGCAGCCCUAAAAGGAAAAAAAAGGAAAAAAAGGGGGGACAGGGCUUGAGAGACGUAUCAUCCAGCGGCAGUAUAUUAGGAUCCGGGUUCAGAUGCUAGAAAUGCUGCCCAUGGGAAAUUUAGGGUAAUAGGAAACCUAACUGGAUAUUUGAUGACGAUUAUCAUUUGUAAGUAUGUAAAUGCGAUUGGCCUAUAUGUCCUAAAAAAGUCUUUACCUGCUAGAGAUAUUUGCUGAAACAUUUGCAGACAAACUCUUACUCUUUCUGGAUUUGAUUCCACUGUCCUGGGGAAAUGGACAGGACGCAGGAGAGAUGGGGUCGGUUGUGCAGUGACCUUAGGAAGCUGAGUCGUGAGCGCCCAGAGGUCCUUCUCGUGUUAAUUUCUAUUACACCGUUGCCUGGGCUUUUAUAUGUGAUUGAAAAUGUCUAUAUUAAAAAGGUGAACUUGGUGUUCCCCGNGGCUCAGUGGGUUAACAAUCCAGCAUUGUCACUGCUGUGGCACAGGUUCGAUCUCUGGUCCCGGAAGUUCCAUGUGCAAUGGGCACUGCCAAAAAAAAUCAAUCAGCGAAUGGAAAAGUAAAAUUGCCAGUGAAAUGGCUGGCAAGGCUUAGUCCUGUAGGACUAGCAGUGAAAGGAUGAUCAUGCCUCCCCAGGAAUACUUUCUCCUGCACAUCGACAUACUAUUGGAGGCUAUUGCUCUGGAGAAAGAAAUCUAUGCGGCCAGCCGGGCUGGAACACACUCUGGACAUGGAACGAGGAGUGACAGCACGUGAUGCUUCUAGUGCAGGAUUAGGCUAUGAUUGUGGAAGAGGCUCCACCUCCCCCACCACUGGCGACUCCUCCGUUUCCUCCUUCUGUAAUUGUUCUGACUUUUAUAACGGCCUGUCAAGUAACAGCGCGUCUCUGCAACAUCUCACUUCAGAAGGAAGGUAGUUUUGUUGAAAUAAAAAGGUGUUUGGGAAAUGCAAUGUUUGUUUUGAUUUAGGAGCUGAGUGCUGCUUCAAGUGCCUGGUCAUCAGGCAGCUCCAGCCAUGAGCAGAAACUGCCACGGCAACAGGCCAAGGAGCCACACAGGGAUUGAAGGUCAGGGCUAGGCUGGUGGUGGGCGGGGGAGGGGUCCAGAAGGAGGGUCUCAGUGACUAUCUGACUCCAAGCCAAUGGGGCUGGAGGCUGGCCGGGGGUGUCUGUGGGGCAAUUGCACCUAUGCGUCAGCCCUCCUGCUUCCUGGAACAGCAGUGCCUUUCCCCGCUGAUGUUAUCCAGGCCUGCUGACCUCUCUGGACGCCAGCAUCAGGGCCCAUCCCUGCCUCGAGGUGACCCUGUCCACUGCUCAGCCAAGCAGCGUCUUUCAGACUCCAGGCUCCUGGCACCCCUGCACCCCCACCUCACCCGUCACAGCCCUGGACACUAGGUCAGGCCAAGGCAGCCCCUGUGAGGGGACGGAGCUCAGAAAGUCCAGUCCUGACCACUUGGGUCAUUUCUUUGUGUCUUUUUAUCUUCAUGGCACCCCCGAGGGACCCUAGCAUUGUCCCAUUUAGAGGCCAGAGGCGGGAGUACAUAGGUGCUAGGCUUCUGUGCCAGGGUUGAGGCCGAGGCAGACUUUUAGCUCCAGGUCCUCCUGCACUGCAGGGUCCAUGACUCCUGAGCCCAGCCCUGGGGCAGACAGGGCCAGACAAGCAGAAGCGGUCCCCAUACCCUGCCAGUAUUUCAGCCAGAAUCACCUUCCAUGCCCAGCAGAGUCUUCCACGGUGAGGCGGUCCAGGGUUGGCCUGGAGGAGUUCCUGGAGGAAACUGGGGGAAUGCCCUGCUCCGAGUACCCAGCACCAUGCUGGCCGCC
This 2275-nucleotide long non-coding RNA is filed under the name Sus scrofa (pig). RNAcentral's name for it is "lncRNA (ENSSSCG00050031897.1)". The record is from RNAcentral. Lineage: Eukaryota; Metazoa; Chordata; Mammalia; Artiodactyla; Suidae.